RNAcentral lists this ribosomal RNA (915 nucleotides) under uncultured Bacillota bacterium. RNAcentral's name for it is "bacterial SSU rRNA". It matches the Rfam family "Bacterial small subunit ribosomal RNA", at positions 58 to 1004 of the family's 1533-position model. Lineage: Bacteria; Bacillati; Bacillota. The record is from RNAcentral.
CAAGUCGAACGAGAAAGUGGAGCAAUCCAUGAGUACAGUGGCGUACGGGUGAGUAACACGUGGAUGAUCUACCUUUUAGUGGGGAAUAACUCUGGGAAACCGGAGAUAAUACCGCAUAAUCCCGAGAGGGGAAAGCAGCAAUGCGCUGAAAGAGGAGUCCGCGGCCGAUUAGCUAGUUGGCAGGGUAAAAGCCUACCAAGGCAAAGAUCGGUAGCCGGCCUGAGAGGGCACACGGCCACACUGGCACUGAAACACGGGCCAGACUCCUACGGGAGGCAGCAGUGGGGAAUCUUGCACAAUGGGGGAAACCCUGAUGCAGCGACGCCGCGUGAGCGAUGAAGCCCUUCGGGGUGUAAAGCUCUUUCGGCAGGGAAGAUGAUGACGGUACCUGCAGAAGCAGCUGCGGCUAACUACGUGCCAGCAGCCGCGGUAAUACGUAGGCAGCAAGCGUUGUUCGGAGUUACUGGGCGUAAAGGGUGUGUAGGCGGUUAUUUAAGUUUGGUGUGAAAUCUCCCGGCUCAACCGGGAGGGUGCGCCGAAUACUGAAUGACUUGGAGUGCGGGAGAGGAAAGUGGAAUUCCUGGUGUAGCGGUGAAAUGCGUAGAUAUCAGGAGGAACACCGGUGGUGUAGACGGCUUUCUGGACCGUAACUGACGCUGAGACACGAAAGCGUGGGUAGCAAACAGGAUUAGAUACCCUGGUAGUCCACGCCCUAAACGAUGCAUAUUUGGUGUGGGCAGUUCAUUCUGUCCGUGCCGGAGCUAACGCGUUAAAUAUGCCGCCUGGGGAGUACAGUCGCAAGGCUGAAACUCAAAGGAAUUGACGGGGGCCCGCACAAGCGGUGGAGCAUGUGGUUCAAUUCGACGCAACGCGAAGAACCUUACCUGGGCUCGAACGGCUGGUCAACGGAGGUGG